UCUGGUGAUUAUGGCUUGAAGGUAACACCCGUUCCCAUGCCGAACACGAAGGUUAAGCUUCAAAGCGCUGAUGGUACUGCAGGG
This 84-nucleotide ribosomal RNA is filed under the name Clostridium botulinum. The record is from RNAcentral. RNAcentral also lists the same sequence under 1 other name. Lineage: Bacteria; Bacillati; Bacillota; Clostridia; Eubacteriales; Clostridiaceae.